GACGAACGCUGGCGGCGUGCUUAAUACAUGCAAGUCGAACGGAAAGACCCGGCUUUUGUGGGGUGCUCGAUUGGCGAACGGGGGAGUAACACGUGAGUAUCCUGCCCUUGACUUUGGGAUAAAAUUAGGGAACUGCGGCUAAUACCGCAUAGGAGCUCUUGAUGCAUGUGGGGGGUUGGAAAGUUUCGGCGGUGGUGGAUGGACUCGCGGCUUAUCAGCUUGUUGGUGGAGUAGUGGCUUGCCGAGGCUUUGACGGGUAGCCCGCCUGGGGGGGUGACCGGCGACCCAGGCACUGAGGUGCGGCCCCGACUCCUACGGGACGCAGCAGUGCGAAAUCUUGCACGAUGGGCGGCAGCCUGAUGCAGCAACGCCGCGUGCGGGAUAACGGCCUUAUGGUUGAAAACCGAAUUCGCCAGUGACGAAGCGUGAGUGACGGGAACGUGUACAGAAGCCCCGGCUUACCACGUG
RNAcentral lists this ribosomal RNA (468 nucleotides) under uncultured bacterium. RNAcentral's name for it is "partial 16S ribosomal RNA". It matches the Rfam family "Bacterial small subunit ribosomal RNA", at positions 28 to 507 of the family's 1533-position model. The record is from RNAcentral.